GUAUGGUAUUAACAACAGGAAAUACACUUCAGUGUUCAAAUCCUGAUCCAAUCAAAACAUUUUCUGAAAAAACGUGCGUGGAAAAUGGCAGAAAAUGGUUUCAAAUUGGUGGGAGCAAACCUUGCGAAAAUUGCUGCAUAUAUCGCAAUAUGACACAAAUAAGUGACAGACAUCUUGCUAUUACUGAUACGGUGAUUAAGGAUGAUGAAACACAAGUAUUUAAUUACAACGUUGUAAGAGAUGAAAACGCUUCUAUUUAUUAUUCAGAAAGUAUUUCAGAAGGAAUUAUAAUGUUAGAUACGGAUUGUAAUAAAUAUGCGAUAAUAUACGAUUC
Molecule: non-coding RNA, 334 nt
Organism: Onthophagus taurus
Lineage: Eukaryota; Metazoa; Arthropoda; Insecta; Coleoptera; Scarabaeidae
Source: RefSeq, a predicted model, not a curated record